Anopheles stephensi (Asian malaria mosquito) is the source of this 746-nucleotide long non-coding RNA. RefSeq lists it as uncharacterized. The record is from RefSeq and is a predicted model, not a curated record. Lineage: Eukaryota; Metazoa; Arthropoda; Insecta; Diptera; Culicidae. The transcript is spliced from 2 exons.
CAAAAGAUCCAGAUAUCCCAGCCGGAAGAAAGCGAUGCAAGAACAGUAAGAAAGAAGAGCACUUUUAAUAUACCUCACCCACGGGACACGAAUCUCCCGGUCCCCCAGCGCCCUCGGGAUAAAUUCGUAAUCGAUCCUUCGCAAACUGCAUUGCGUGUGUGUGUGCGUUAAGGGUUAAAAGACGGACAUUACCUGCACCCUAGGAUCCACCGGAACGUUACUAUCACUGUCCACCGAUGUCAUGUUAGCCAGGUUGAAGGUUGGUUGAUUGCAGUGCUGGAGCGAUGGUGUUGUCUACUACCAACACCGUGUUGGCGACGUUGCACACUGACGGCUGACUAUCGAUCGCGGGGAAGCUUUCCCGCCGUAGUAACCAUUCAGCGGGGGUUUUUCUUUUUGUUUUGUUUGCUAGACCCUUUUUUCCUUUUUGUACGUUGUGUACGAUCGAGCUUACCACCGGUGGGGUCGGUUGGCUAGAAGCAGUAAAAUGCAAUCCACACGACGGACUCGCUAGUUAGUACGGUUGCGGGCUGGUUCUCCGGUUACUACGGGCGUGUGCGCGUGUGUGUAGGACAUGGCCACCGUCCCGUUCGAUGCAACUUUUAGUGGACACUAUGUCUGUAAAGCUCCUCAGGAGCAUGCCAAGCGUCGCGAACGCGAAUGAUUGUCAGCCAAAAAAAGUCAGCUACUGUGGUGGUAUGCGUGUACUAAGCAAUUGUACUACACCGACCAAACAAAAAAAAAAA